Molecule: ribosomal RNA, 576 nt
Filed under: uncultured eukaryote
Lineage: Eukaryota
Description: eukaryotic LSU rRNA
Rfam family: 5.8S ribosomal RNA (bases 182-335)
Source: RNAcentral
AACAAGGUCUCCGUUGGUGAACCAGCGGAGGGAUCAUUAUCGAGUUAUUCAACUCCCAAACCCUAUGUGAACUUACCACUUGUUGCUUCGGCGCGCGCUUCGGCGCCGCCGAGGACACUUAAACUCUUUGUUUUUAUAAGCAUUUCUGAGUGACCGAAAGGCAAAAAUACAAAUGAAUCAAAACUUUCAACAACGGAUCUCUUGGUUCUGGCAUCGAUGAAGAACGCAGCGAAAUGCGAUAAGUAAUGUGAAUUGCAGAAUUCAGUGAAUCAUCGAAUCUUUGAACGCACAUUGCGCCCGCCAGCAUUCUGGCGGGCAUGCCUGUUCGAGCGUCAUUUCAACCCUCGAGCCCGACUCUUUUGAGGACGGCUCGGCGUUGGGGGACGGCAGACUCCCCCCGGCAUCUCGCCGGGGACGCCGCCCCCGAAAUCUAGUGGCGGCCCUCCGAGGCGACCUCUGCGUAGUAACUUGUUCUCGCACCGGAAAGCUCAGAGCGGCCACGCCGUAAAACCCCAACUUUUUUCAGGUUGACCUCGAAUCAGGUAGGACUACCCGCUGAACUUAAGCAUAUCAAUA